AUGAUGAACAAGGGCUUACCACCCCAUCUCCCCUGCAGCUCCACCCCAGUGCGAUGGGAGCGCUGCCCCCGCUGCUUCUUGCCCCGGUCACCGGCCACGCUGCUCCUUCGCCCCACCACCGGCCUCCCCUGCUCCUCCACCCCCACCGUCAAGACCCAGCUGCGAUGCUACUCCUCAAUUUUCCUGCGCCACCCCUCUUCUCCUGCGGAUGUGACCCUUCUCUUCAAGGAGAAGCCGGCAUGCGGGAGGAUCCGGCAGGAUCCGGUAGAAGGAGAUGAGGAGAGGCGGCGCUGGGCAGAGGAGAAGGAGGAGAAGGGGCGCGGCGGCGGCGGUCGUGAUCAGGAGAGGAGGAGAGACGAGGCAUGGGGUCUGGAGAUCGAGGAUGGGCGGGGAUUGGCAGCUAGGUUUUCACCUGAUUCCACCGCGCACAGAACAUACGGGACCCUGAGGUUUCUUCUCAAUGUAGCUGUAAAACGGGCCCGUGAAAAAAGGAGCCCCACACGUCAUUCACUCAAGCAUGAAAGAUCAAUGUCCAAAAAAACUAACCGCGGGAUUUUUGACAGCACUGUAAAAUCGGGCCAGCGAGGCAGAUCGUGCGGCCAGAACGCAUGCGCGCCGCGAAUGCCCCUAGAAUGGCGGGAUGCCACUUCAAUCACAGUUGUAGGCCCACUUUGGACAGGUCCUCUACAUGAUUGUUCUUCCAUUACAAAAAUGCUAAACUUGGCUGUGGAAUGGGGACGGGCACACACAAGUGAGAAUGGUGUCGAAAAACUUCUUGGCGCCAUGAUUGAGGAGAGUGACCCAAGGUUACCACCUGGAUAUAUAAGACUUGAUGAGAUUGCCUGCCGAGAAAAAGUUAACUCUCCACCGCUCGGUACCCUCAUUCAUUCAUUGCAGAAGGUGAUACAAACGCAUCGAAAGAAUGCCCGGCCUCUGCAUAGCACGAUCCUAUGA
RNAcentral lists this ribosomal RNA (954 nucleotides) under Triticum aestivum (bread wheat). RNAcentral's name for it is "partial small subunit ribosomal RNA". The record is from RNAcentral. Lineage: Eukaryota; Viridiplantae; Streptophyta; Magnoliopsida; Poales; Poaceae.